GAGCCUUGUAAGUUCUCUUUACACGUAUGUUUAUGUCUAUAUCUACUUGUCUAUCUGUGUAUCUAUCUUUGUAGAGAGAAAGACUUGGACAAGUUACUUGCAAGGAAGUUAUUGGACAGUUUUUUUUGUGAAAUAUUGUCUAUUUUCAUCUUUGAAAAUGUGAUAACUGAUAUUAUAUAUAUGAACUUUAAAAAAUUAAUAUAGGCAUUAAAAUGGUUUCACAUUCAUUAUUGGAAUUUCUUUAAUAAAUUGCCUGUUGAUGUAUUUUCCUAUUUUUUCUCUUGAGGCAUUCAUAAUUUUAUAGUUAAUUUUCAAACCUUCUUUGCUUACCAAGAAUAUUAAUACUUUUUCUGGAAAAUGCCUAGCAAAGACUUUUUGUCCAUUUAAAAAUGUUCCACUGUUUCCUGUUAUUUAUGACUUAAUGACAUUUCAGAACUUUAAUACACUAAUAUCCAUAAAUCUCUUCCUUUUUCCUUAGAAAAUAUUUUCACAACUCAAGACAAGUUAAAUAUCCACUUAUGGGAACAGUGCUGAAGGCCUGGACUAGGAUGGUAGCAAUGGAGACAGACUAAAGAAAGAGAUGCAAUCAUUCCCUUGCAUAUGGUCCGUAUGAAGACGGGAUCAUUACAGGAAAGGUGAAGGAGAUACAGUCAUUAUGCUCUAUAUACACCCAUUUUUAUGGCUAGCGGCUGAAGAUGGGAUGCUUUCUUUGCUGGAAGACCUAUUACCUGUUAGGUUGCAAAAGAUGUGAUCAUCUUCCUAAACAAUAAUUUAGAGUCCCAUAACAAUUUUAAGUGUGCUGUUCAUGAAAAUUUGAAUACAUUGUAUUGGGAAUAUAAUGGAAGUGAGAUGCCUCAUGUCGUGAGAAAAUCUGACAUAAACUCCUUAAGCAUGAGAGGCCAUGUGGGUAUGGAAGCCCUGAAAGGGAGGAAAAAACAGCCAGACCCUAGCUGUUCCAGUCAUCCCAACUGAGGUGCCAGACUUGUGAUUGAGGCCAUCUUGCAUCAUCUAGGCCUAGUAGAGCUGCCAACUGACUGCAGACACAUGAGUCAAUCCAGCUAAUGCCACAUGGAGCAGAGACAAGCCGCCCAGCUGAGCCCAGUCCAGAUGACAGAAUCAUGAGCAAAUAAGGUUGUUGUUCUUUUAAGCCACUAAAUUUUCGGGUGAUUUGUUACACAGUAAUAAAUAACUGAAAC
Molecule: long non-coding RNA, 1196 nt
Organism: Homo sapiens (human)
Lineage: Eukaryota; Metazoa; Chordata; Mammalia; Primates; Hominidae
Product: long intergenic non-protein coding RNA 1370
Source: Ensembl